UCAAAGCCUGAGAUGACGUCUGUUAAUUGCUUUCUGAUGUCCACUAAUACGUAACAAACAACAACAGACAUCUAUAUUUUUUUUACAUUAAACAUGGAAAAAGAGCUGAAUAUUACAUUUGAAAGACAACAGUUUAGCAUUCUUUUCUGAUAAACUCAAAAUAGGAAUUAAACUGAAUGAGGAAAUGCGUCGUCACUCUCGUUCUGAUUGGCCGUUCUGAAUAGAAUAGCAACUUUUGAUCACUGCAUACAAACCUAUGUGAUAACGGUAAACACUACUUCUUUGAAGAGUUCAGUAUUAGUUUUCAUGCUGUCAUACAGGAGCUGAUAUCACUAUGUGAUGAUGUGUCUUUGUAUGUGGUCAACCUGAUUUGUGUAGCAUCGCUCAAACUUCAGUGAAAGAAUGUUUAAUAAAAUAACCCUAUGGAUGCUAAUGGAAUAUUAAAACAGCACAACAUCCCUA
This is a long non-coding RNA of Labrus mixtus (cuckoo wrasse), 462 nucleotides long. RefSeq lists it as uncharacterized. Lineage: Eukaryota; Metazoa; Chordata; Actinopteri; Labriformes; Labridae. The record is from RefSeq and is a predicted model, not a curated record. The transcript is spliced from 2 exons.